RNAcentral lists this ribosomal RNA (431 nucleotides) under uncultured Acetivibrio sp. RNAcentral describes it as "bacterial SSU rRNA". It matches the Rfam family "Bacterial small subunit ribosomal RNA", at positions 958 to 1393 of the family's 1533-position model. Lineage: Bacteria; Bacillati; Bacillota; Clostridia; Acetivibrionales; Acetivibrionaceae. The record is from RNAcentral.
AACGCGAAGAACCUUACCAGGGCUUGACAUCCCGUGCAUAGCAUAGAGAUAUGUGAAAUCCUACGGGACACGGAGACAGGUGGUGCAUGGUUGUCGUCAGCUCGUGUCGUGAGAUGUUGGGUUAAGUCCCGCAACGAGCGCAACCCUUAUUGUUAGUUGCCAUCAUUAAGUUGGGCACUCUAACGAGACUGCCGGUGACAAAUCGGAGGAAGGUGGGGACGACGUCAAAUCAUCAUGCCCCUUACGUCCUGGGCUACACACGUACUACAAUGGCUGAAACAAAGGGAAGCGAAGCUGUGAAGUGGAGCAAAUCCCAAAAUACAGUCUCAGUUCGGAUUGUAGGCUACAACUCGCCUACAUGAAGUCGGAAUUGCUAGUAAUCGCGAAUCAGAAUGUCGCGGUGAAUACGUUCCCGGGUCUUGUACACACGC